UGGGAUAUCGCCAAGCGGUAAGGCACGUGGCUCUGACCCACGCAUUUCGGAGGUUCGAAUCCUUCUAUCCCAGCCA
This 76-nucleotide transfer RNA is filed under the name Bacillota bacterium. Its description in RNAcentral is "tRNA-Gln". It matches the Rfam family "tRNA". Rfam says of the family: Transfer RNA (tRNA) molecules are approximately 80 nucleotides in length. Their secondary structure includes four short double-helical elements and three loops (D, anti-codon, and T loops). RNAcentral also lists the same sequence under 1 other name. Lineage: Bacteria; Bacillati; Bacillota. The record is from RNAcentral.